CCUUAAUCUUCUUCUCUCUUUCUCUCAGCUCCUCUCGGUAUCAGGAUGAAGGUGAUUGAGGAUGACUUAGGGAGUCGGUUCAGGUUUGCUGAGUCAUGUGUGGGAUUGACAGGGUGUCUCUGCGUGGCCUACUCUGUGUGGAGCUCUCGCUGGCUCUGGGACACGGGACUAUGGACUUUAGGGAAUAACAUCACCAGCACAGACCAUGACAUUGACCAGAGUGACAUUAUCUUCAACGGUUUCUUCUUCCUCCUCAGCUGGUCCAUCUUCACCUACCAGCAUUGGAUGGAAAUCAGUAGUGACAUCACCAGCCUGGGUUCCUCCUAUUGGCUUGGCGCCCUGGGCUGGGCCCUGCUAUUGGUUGUUUUCCCAGUGGUGUUCCUGGUGGAGCAGUGUGUGGUCCCUGACAUCAUGCCGAACCUCAUGAAUGCUGCCGAUGGCUGGCUCCGCACCUCCCCGGUUCCAUAUGCUGAGCGCCCAUUCAGCCAGAUUCAUCAGCAUUGUGACAUGGAAAGGGGGCUGAAGAGGUGCAUGUCUGUAACAUGAGACAAGGAAUGGAUAAAACAGGGAUGAAGUGAAACCUUCGGGUUUCAAGUCUGAGCAGAAUGCAGGACUGAACUGGACAGGUCAGGACUUAUGGAAGUCUGUGUUUACUCUAGCAGUUUACAUAAGGAAGUCAGAAUCUGCACCCUACCAGCUUUGAGGCAUUAGUGAUUAUAUGAAUAUGAUUAUAUUCAUUUCACCUGGGAGUGGGCAAUUUCUCUAUCAGAGUCUUCUCCAGUGGUCACAAACUGUCCUCAUCUGGAAAGCAUGGUGAGCAAGGACUUUUAAUCUAAACGUAAAUUCUCCACCAGCUUGUGUUAUUCCUCACUACAAGCAGAUACUAGAUGUUGUUAUGCCUCACCACUGUGCUAGCUGUUAUGUCACACCUCUAUACAAGGUGUUGUAAUGCCUCACUACUGUACCUGCUGUUGUUAUGCCUCACCACUGUGCUAGCUGUUAUGUCACACCUCUAUACAAGGUGUUGUAAUGCCUCACUACUGUACCUGCUGUUGUUAUGCCUCACCACAAUAAAAGUGUGACUUUUAUUUUAAUUUAUGAAAUAAAUGAGUGCUGAUAAUGUGUAACCGCAUAAAAUACUCUGCUCUGUUUAACCAGUAUAUCUGCUUAAUGCCAGGUGUCUUCCUGGCACCACAAAUGUGUCCCGAGCCAGCCCUGUCA
Molecule: long non-coding RNA, 1221 nt
Organism: Esox lucius (northern pike)
Lineage: Eukaryota; Metazoa; Chordata; Actinopteri; Esociformes; Esocidae
Source: Ensembl